This 468-nucleotide ribosomal RNA is filed under the name uncultured bacterium. RNAcentral's name for it is "partial 16S ribosomal RNA". It matches the Rfam family "Bacterial small subunit ribosomal RNA", at positions 28 to 507 of the family's 1533-position model. The record is from RNAcentral.
GACGAACGCUGGCGGCGCGCCUAACACAUGCAAGUCGAACGGAGUCAAGAGGAGCUUGCUUUUCUUGACUUAGUGGCGAACGGGUGAGUAACGCGUGAGUAACCUGCCCUGGAGUGGGGGACAACAGUUGGAAACGACUGCUAAUACCGCAUAAGCCCACGGAUCCGCAUGGAUCUGCGGGAAAAGGAUUUAUUCGCUUCAGGAUGGACUCGCGUCCAAUUAGCUAGUUGGUGAGGUAACGGCCCACCAAGGCGACGAUUGGUAGCCGGACUGAGAGGUUGAACGGCCACAAUGGGACUGAGACACGGCCCAGACUCCUACGGGAGGCAGCAGUGGGGGAUAUUGCACAAUGGGGGAAACCCUGAUGCAGCGACGCCGCGUGGAGGAAGAAGGUUUUCGGAUUGUAAACUCCUGUCGUUAGGGACGAUAAUGACGGUACCUAACAAGAAAGCACCGGCUAACUACGUG